This is a non-coding RNA of Schizosaccharomyces pombe (fission yeast), 482 nucleotides long. The record is from the annotation of a GenBank genome assembly. NCBI's taxonomy places the organism in Eukaryota, Fungi, Ascomycota, Schizosaccharomycetes, Schizosaccharomycetales, Schizosaccharomycetaceae.
CAAAGAGAGUAUAAAAGUGUUUUAUUUCUUUUCACUUGUUUUCAUUUCUUUUCUUUUACAUUUUUUUUUCUUAUUUUGUUUAGAGGUUAUUGGUUUGCAUGCAUGGAAUACGUUACCGUUUUCUUCCCUUUGGUUGAAAAGUGUCGUGAGUGUUUUGUGUUUUCAUUGAUUGUAUAGUACGAUUGCGAGGGUCGAGAGGUGUCGUGCACCAACAUUCAAAGUAAGGAAGGAGGAGGGAAGGCAAAGUUGUACGAUGGAGGCGAGAAUUGUGGGGGAUGAAUGGGGCAAGGGAAAGAGAGAGAAAAGGAGAAGAAUGAGAGGAAGAAAGAAGAAAAAAAAAAUAAAAAAGAAAUUAAAAAAUAAAAAUUAAAAUAAUAAAGAAAAUAAAAUUGAAAGAGGAAUUCAAUUUAAUUAGAGUAAUUCAAUGUAAUUCAAUUUCAUAAAAAUAAAAAAUAAUGUUUUAUUAAAUUCAAGUUUUGUUU